AAAAAAGGGAAUAGAGAACAGGUUCACAUCCCUGGCUUGCGCAAUUCCUCAGUUCCAUGUGCAAAGUGGCACCUAUCCCCAAAAGUGCAAGAUCCUUUAGCAAAAUUCUCACAAAGCUUAGUUUUGAAGUUGUUUGUUGGACCAGAAUGUAUAACAGGGUUCUUCAUUGGAGCACCAGAAGCUUGACUGACAUUCCCAAUAAGCUCACGAAC
Molecule: unclassified non-coding RNA, 212 nt
Filed under: Hevea brasiliensis (rubber tree)
Lineage: Eukaryota; Viridiplantae; Streptophyta; Magnoliopsida; Malpighiales; Euphorbiaceae
Source: RNAcentral